RNAcentral lists this ribosomal RNA (253 nucleotides) under uncultured bacterium. RNAcentral describes it as "partial 16S ribosomal RNA". It matches the Rfam family "Bacterial small subunit ribosomal RNA", at positions 524 to 776 of the family's 1533-position model. The record is from RNAcentral.
UACGUAGGGUGCAAGCGUUGUCCGGAAUUAUUGGGCGUAAAGAGCUCGUAGGCGGCUUGUCGCGUCGGCUGUGAAAACCUGGGGCUCAACCCCGGGCCUGCAGCCGAUACGGGCAAGCUAGAAUUCGGUAGGGGAGACUGGAAUUCCUGGUGUAGCGGUGAAAUGCGCAGAUAUCAGGAGGAAUACCGAUGGCGAAGGCAGGUCUCUGGGCUAUAACUGACGCUCAUGCACGAAAGCGUGGGGAGCAAACAGG